Molecule: ribosomal RNA, 428 nt
Filed under: uncultured bacterium
Lineage: Bacteria
Description: partial 16S ribosomal RNA
Rfam family: Bacterial small subunit ribosomal RNA
Source: RNAcentral
GUGGGGAAUAUUGGGCAAUGGGCGAAAGCCUGACCCAGCAACGCCGCGUGAGGGAAGAAGGCCUUCGGGUUGUAAACCUCUGUCCUUGGUGACGAAAAAAAUGACGGUAGCCAAGGAGGAAGCCCCGGCUAACUACGUGCCAGCAGCCGCGGUAAUACGUAGGGGGCGAGCGUUGUCCGGAAUUACUGGGCGUAAAGGGUGCGUAGGUGGCCUUUUAAGUUGGAUGUGAAAUACCCGGGCUUAACUUGGGGGGUGCAUCCAAAACUGGGAGGCUAGAGUGCAGGAGAGGAAAGCGGAAUUCCUAGUGUAGCGGUGAAAUGCGUAGAUAUUAGGAGGAACACCAGUGGCGAAGGCGGCUUUCUGGACUGUAACUGACACUGAGGCACGAAAGCGUGGGGAGCAAACAGGAUUAGAAACCCGAGUAGUCC